Parasteatoda tepidariorum (common house spider) is the source of this 1041-nucleotide non-coding RNA. The record is from RefSeq and is a predicted model, not a curated record. Lineage: Eukaryota; Metazoa; Arthropoda; Arachnida; Araneae; Theridiidae.
ACUUUUAUCUCAGGUGUAAGUAAUGAGAUGUGUACUGCUUCAUUAAGUAACGUUUGUUUAAAUUUUGAUCAAGGGGGAUAAAAGCGAGUAGCAGAGAUCCCCUCCCCCCCACAUCGUCAUCAACAGUCAACAGUCAAUUUUGAAAGUUGAAUUUUUCUCUCCUCUUCACAUAUAUAAACCUCGUUUAUUUUUAAAAACAAUAAAAAAAUGACUUAUUUAUUACCAAUACAAAAAGUUAUUUUUCUUUCAUUGCUGGAGUAAAUUUAACAAUUUCUGAACUAAGUAACAGCAAGAUUGAAAAAUUUCUUCAUUUUUGGUUCAAGUAAUUCACGGAGCAGGAAACUUGGAGUCAAUAAAUCAACUAAGAAGUAUCUUAGAUCUUAUAUAAAAAGGAUUUACAAUAAAGGAUUGACUGCCCAAACAAAAUAAGGGUGAAGUCACUUCAGCGGAGCGGGCUGCCGUGAUGAAAGGGUGAAGUCACUUCAGCGGAGCGGGUUGUGACGAAAGGGUUAAGAUAAACUUACUUCUAAACGAAACUAAUUCAGUUGCAACUGUCUCAAAUUUUCAAGAACCUUCAAUAAAUAAGCGAUCAAGGGCCUCUUUUUAAUUUAGUGUCCAGAACUUGGAACUUGAUAUCUUAAGGCCUCACUGACAUCUCGAGCAAACUUUAAGAAGAGCUUUCAAAUAAUCGUGAACUUUAUUCAGCCUACUUAAUCCCCGUAAAAGGAAAGUGGAAAAAAAAGGAACGAAUGCAGAAGAAAACACCCCCUAGUGCCUAGGAUUAGAAGCAAUUGCAAAAAGAGUGAAAAAAAAUUCAAGUUGUAUUCCCUGAAGUAAACAAAGUAUCUGAUUUGACUGAAACGAACUUUUAGAACUAAAAGAAUAUGAAGAGAAACAGCAGUUUUUUUUUCUUUUCCGUUCUCAUUGUAAAGAAUGGAAAUGAAAUGUUUGUUUCUUGAUCUUUUGAAAACACUUAAUACGCACAGUUAUGUGCUUCGUGAAACUGUAAUUCGUUGAAGUAAAAACUCACUUAAACUUGGA